RNAcentral lists this ribosomal RNA (540 nucleotides) under Triticum aestivum (bread wheat). RNAcentral's name for it is "partial small subunit ribosomal RNA". The record is from RNAcentral. Lineage: Eukaryota; Viridiplantae; Streptophyta; Magnoliopsida; Poales; Poaceae.
AUGGCCAUGGAGUACACCUCAAGGCGCUGGCUGGCCGCGGUGGCGGCCAUCGUCCUGCUCUCGUGCGCCCCGGCCCUGGCGGCGGCGGCCGGCCGGAAGCUGCUGCAGAUCCAGAUCAGCCAGGCGCAGCAGUACGUGGUGCCGCAGAACCACAUGCGCGCGAUCCACGAGCAGCGCCCGCUCAAGUGGAGCAGCGGGCUGGCGGACCAGGCGGAGCGCUGGGCGGCGCGGUUCAAGGGCAACUGCGCGGCCGCGUCGGCGGCGAUGCCGGGCGGCGUCAAUGUGUUUCGCGGCUUCGGCGAGGCCGGGAAGGCGUGGCAGCCCAGCGACGCGGUGGCGGCGUGGGCGGAGCAGGCCAACUACUUCGACUUCGCGUCCGGCGGCUGCGCCUCCGGGAAGCUGUGCGCGCAGUUCAAGCAGGUGAUGUCCAAAGGCAACACAGACGUCGGGUGCGCCACCGUGAAGUGCACCGACGGCACCACGCUUAUGACCUGCCACUACUCGCCGCUGGGCAACAUCUUCGGGGAGAAGCCCUUCUGA